GACGAACCGAGCGAACGUUUAUUCGGAAUAACUGGGCUUAAAGGGAGCGUAGGUGGCCUUAUAAGUCAGUGGUGAAAUCUCUGGGCUUAACCCAGAAAUUGCCAUUGAUACUGUAGGGCUUGAGUAUAGUUGCCGUUGGCGGAAUAUGACAUGUAGUGGUGAAAUACAUAGAGAUGUCAUAGAACACCGAUUGCGAAGGCAGCUGACGAAACUAUAACUGACACUGAGGCUCGAAAGUGCGGGGGAUCAAACAGG
Molecule: ribosomal RNA, 255 nt
Filed under: uncultured bacterium
Lineage: Bacteria
Description: partial 16S ribosomal RNA
Rfam family: Bacterial small subunit ribosomal RNA
Source: RNAcentral